AUCCCAAUUGUUAUUACAUAUAAAAGUAUCCAAGGGUUUUCUAAUAUCUUCUUCUAUCUUCUCCGCCGAAAACUCUAUUUCUUCUGCUGAGAAAUGUUGGCCUUCACUGUGUUCAACUUGUUCUUAAUGUACUUGUUCUAUUUCCUCUGCUGAGAAAUGUUGGCCUUCACUGUGUUCAACUUGUUCUUAAUGUACUUGUUGUGGAUUAUGAAUAGAGUACUAUGGAUUGAAGCUGCUACUUUGUAUAUCAACUCCCAAAAGUCAGUGAUUCCCUUUCUCGUAUGCUUUUAUUUUGAUCUUCUCCGCCGUUAAUAGACUGUUUUAUUACUUCCAGUUGUGUUCUCCGGUGGAUGGGACGAUGCUCUUGUUUUUGUGAUGUGUUGAGGGUCUCAAGUUCCUGGAUGGAAUUCCAGAUCUAAGUAAGUUGCUUCGCCUCUCCUUCUUCAUUCUUUUAAGCUUCCAUACUUCUUUUCUUUGCUUAUGCUGAUCUUCGUUGUAGUUGCUACAGGCAUGGAGAUAGUGGAAUGCUCAGACCCAUAAGUAAUUGGACUGUAGUGCUCUAUCCAGGUGUUUCUGCUACUAUCUCACGUGACUCUUCCCUUUUGCUGCGAGUCCUUUUUGAUGGCUGACAUAGAUUAGGCUAGGAAACUUGUUUUCUCUUUUUGUUAGUUUCCUCAUUGUAAAUAUAUGCUUGUGUAUGAUCUACUCUGGACAAUGUGGCCUACUCAGCCUAUUUAUUCUCUUGUUGCUCGCACUCUUAUGUAUGGACAUUGUCACUUAUCACUGUUAAGGAUUUUUCUACCACUUACCUCUAAUUGCUGAAAAUUUGAAAUUGUGAAAUCCCCUUUGUCAAUGCUAAAUUAGUUAGAUGAUCAGCCAACUGAUUUCCCUCCCUCAUAAUGUGUUGAUACUGUACCUGCUUUCUAUUCAUUAUUUUCCAUAUCUUCUCCACAUAAUCUAUUACAUUCCAAGGAUAGUUCCAUUCUCUAAUUAAUACUUUUUGCAUCAGUAGGGAAUCAGUUUGAAUAAUCACUUUUUCUUUAUGUGUUUGAUCUGCAUGAAUUGCUGCUUGUAGAAUAGCGUAAGCCUCAGCUUUUACAUUAGAGGUAUCUUCCAUUUUAACUCCUUCUGCAUAAAUUAGGUCACCCUUCUCAUUCCUAGCACAAAAGGCAUAUGAGCUAAUCUCAGGGUUACAUCUAGAUGCACCAUCUGUAUUGUAUUUAACCCACCCAUUCUCUGGAAGCUUCCACAUCACUUUAGUAAACUUCAUCUUUGUUUUUCUCCCUUCUAGCUCAUUCAGUAUAUUUGGCCAGCUACCGGGAAAAACUUGUCUUGGAUUUCUUACCUUGAGUAACAAUCCCACAUUUCUGGUAAUAUUGAAUAGUACUUUAUGUAAAGACAAGUUCUUCCCAUCAUGCUUCAAACUAUUCCUUCUUUUCCAUAUUUCCCGAAUGAUUAUGCUUGGAAGGGACUGAAAAUAUAGUUUGACUCUCCUCUUGACUUCCUCAUUCCAUCAUGCAAGAACAGUUUCUCUGAAUGUUAAUCCCUGAAUUAGAAUACCUGCACAUGAAGCAAAGUAGGACCAAGUCUGGUUAGCUUAAAGAUGAUCUCAAAAACACAUAAGUAAUGGUUUCUUCAUCAGGAUAAGUGUAACACCAACAUCUAGUUGGCCCUUCUACUCCCCAUCUUCUCACAAGAGCAUCUACUGGAACCUUUCCUUUCCAUAUUCUCCACAUUAGAAAUGCCAUUUUGAAUGGUAAUCCCUUAACCUAUAUUUCUUUGUAUAAUUUGUUUUUUUCUUAACUCUGUCUAAUAUAAUGUCAUGCUAACUUAACUGUGAACUUGCCAGUAGUUUCCAAUAUCCAAAUAGGAAAACCUCUUUCUCCUGCAACAAUUUUAGGCCUCAACUUAGUUAAAAUGUGAUUGACAACUUCUUGAGGUAGUACUUGCUUCAUCAACUGCUCAUUCGGUUACCCUUCUGUGAUUAAAUCUUUUUCCAGUUGAACUCUGUCAUUAUAGUCCCUGCUGUUCUGCAGUAUAUUAUAUAAAUCACCAAUUGUAGUCCAGUUAUCAAACCAUAUACUAGAAUCUUCACUUUUGAUCUUCCAUAGAAUUUGGUGCUCCACUGAUCCCCAGCCUGCAAUAUUUUCUUCCAAACCUGAGAUCCAGCUCCUGUUUUCCAUACUAUCUCAUUAGGAUGAUGUUUUCUACAGUAUUUGUUAUGCAUGAACCUACUCCAGAUAGAGUCUUUA
Molecule: long non-coding RNA, 2252 nt
Filed under: Capsicum annuum
Lineage: Eukaryota; Viridiplantae; Streptophyta; Magnoliopsida; Solanales; Solanaceae
Description: long non-coding RNA (CANN_LNC000958)
Source: RNAcentral